UUUCACCAGAACCUCUGAAGUUUUCUCACUUCCGCUCGUUUGUGUGUCUUGUUUUCUUGUGCUUUUGGGCGAGUACUCUUUUCCUUUACUGAAGUUUUUCCCUUGGGGUUUUGUUUAGUAAGGUUUUAAUGAGGCUUGGCCCCUAGUUUGAUUGCUUGUGCUCUUAGGAAUUUUUUGGUUCUAUUUUUUUUUUCAUUUUUUAAUAAAGCUCCAUUUUAGCAAUGAUAAUUAAUUGUAUUGUGAGUGAAGUUUAGGGCCCUACACCAUGUGAUAGAAACUUUUCAAAAGUAGAAAGAGACUUGUUAGGUCCCGAAAGGUCUA
RNAcentral lists this long non-coding RNA (321 nucleotides) under Salvia miltiorrhiza (redroot sage). Its description in RNAcentral is "long non-coding RNA (SMIL_LNC010287)". Lineage: Eukaryota; Viridiplantae; Streptophyta; Magnoliopsida; Lamiales; Lamiaceae. The record is from RNAcentral.